AAUGAACGUUGGCGGCGUGGAUUAGGCAUGCAAGUCGUGCGAGAAUCGCUUUCGGGCGAGGACAGCGGCGAAAGGGAGAGUAACGGGUGGUUACAUACCCUCAGGCUCGGGAUAGUGUCGGGAAACUGACAGUAAUACCGAAUAAUAUCUAAGGAUCAAAGGUGUGAUUCCGCCUGAGGAUUGGACCGCUUUCUAUUAGCUUGUUGGCGGGGUAAUGGCCCACCAAGGCUUAGAUGGAUACCGGGUGUGAGAGCAUGGCCCGGCUCACUGGGUCUGAGACACUGCCCAGACACCUACGGGUGGCUGCAGUCGAGAAUCUUCGGCAAUGGACGAAAGUCUGACCGAGCGACGCCGCGUGCGGGAUGAAGGCCUUCGGGUUGUAAACCGCUGUCAGUUGGGAGGAAAUGUUAGGGGGUUCUCCCCUUAAUUUGACCGAUCUUCAGAGGAAGGACGGGCUAAGUUCGUGCCAGCAGCCGCAGUAAUAC
RNAcentral lists this ribosomal RNA (485 nucleotides) under uncultured bacterium. RNAcentral's name for it is "bacterial SSU rRNA". It matches the Rfam family "Bacterial small subunit ribosomal RNA", at positions 29 to 526 of the family's 1533-position model. The record is from RNAcentral.